UACAGAGGUGGCAAGCGUUGUUCGGAAUUACUGGGCGUAAAGGGCGCGUAGGCGGUUUCGUAAGUCCCGCGUGAAAGCCCCCGGCUCAACUGGGGAAUGGCACGGGAAACUGCGAGGCUUGAGUUCGGGAGAGGGAAGCGGAAUUCCGGGUGUAGCGGUGAAAUGCGUAGAUAUCCGGAGGAACACCAGUGGCGAAGGCGGCUUCCUGGACCGACACUGACGCUGAGGCGCGAAAGCUAGGGGAGCAAACGGG
This 253-nucleotide ribosomal RNA is filed under the name uncultured bacterium. RNAcentral describes it as "partial 16S ribosomal RNA". It matches the Rfam family "Bacterial small subunit ribosomal RNA", at positions 524 to 776 of the family's 1533-position model. RNAcentral also lists the same sequence under 1 other name. The record is from RNAcentral.